This 1514-nucleotide ribosomal RNA is filed under the name human gut metagenome. Its description in RNAcentral is "bacterial LSU rRNA". It matches the Rfam family "Bacterial large subunit ribosomal RNA", at positions 445 to 1973 of the family's 2925-position model. The record is from RNAcentral.
AGCGGGGCCCAUCCCGUAAGGCUAAAUACUCCCGAGAGACCGAUAGCGAACCAGUACUGUGAAGGAAAGGUGAAAAGAACCUCGAACAGAGGAGUGAAACAGACCCUGAAACCAUGCGCCUACAAGCGGUCGGAGCAUGUUAAAAUGUGACGGCGUGCCUUUUGCAUAAUGAACCUACGAGUUACUCUCGCUGGCAAGGUUAAGCGAUUCAGUCGCGCAGCCGAAGCGAAAGCAAGUCCGAACAAGGCGUACAGUCAGCGGGAGUAGACGCGAAACCAAGUGAUCUACCCUUGGUCAGGUUGAAGGUUGGGUAACACCAACUGGAGGACCGCACCGAUAAGCGUUGAAAAGCUUACGGAUGAACUGAGGGUAGGAGUGAAAGGCCAAUCAAACUUGGAGAUAGCUCGUACUCCCCGAAAUGCAUUUAGGUGCAGCCUCGAAGUAAAGUGAUAGAGGUAGAGCGACUGAUAAGAUGCGAGGGCUUCACCGCCUAUCAAGUCUUGACAAACUCCGAAUACUAUCACUUGAUCUUCGGGAGUGAGGGCAUGGGUGCUAAGGUCCAUGUCCGAAAGAGGAACAACUCAGACCACCAGCUAAGGUCCCGAAAUAAGGGCUAAGUUGAAUAAACGAAGUAAAACUGCAAAGACAGCUAGGAUGUUGGCUUGGAAGCAGCCAUUCAUUUAAAGAGUGCGUAACAGCUCACUAGUCGAGGAGUUUUGCAUGGAUAAUAAUCGGGCAUAAGCCCUUUACCGAAGCUGUGGAUGUCGUAAGACAUGGUAGGGGAGCAUUCCGGCGGCGACGAAGGCCGUCCUCGAGGACGACUGGAGCUUUCGGAAAAGCAAAUGUAGGUAUAAGUAACGAUAAAGGGGGCGUGAAACCCCCUCGCCAUAAGACUAAGGAUUCCUGAUCAACGCUAAUCGGAUCAGGGUAAGUCGGGCCCUAAGGCGCAGCCGAACGGCGUAGCCGAUGGAAGAAACGGUAAAGAUUCCGUUACUGGAUAUAGGAGCGAUGUGGAGACGGAGAAGUGACACACCCGCCUGCCGACGGAAGCGCAGGUUAAAGGAAGUAGGUAAACGCCGGGUAGGCAAAUCCGCCUGGCGUGCCGAAGCUGACAGUAUCGAGAGCCCCCGGGCAAUCGAAUAGCGGUGGUAAUCAGGCUCCCAAGAAAAUCCGCUAAGCAUAUUCUAUAUCCACCCGUACCCCAAACGGACACACGUAGUCGGGUAGAAUAUACCAAGGCGCUCGAAAGACUCACGGUUAAGGAACUAGGCAAAUUGACCCUGUAACCUCGGGAAAAAGGGUCCCCAGUAAGAUGGGGCGCAGAGAAUAGGUCCAGGCAACUGUUUAACAAAAACACAGGGCUGUGCAAAAUUGAAAGAUGAAGUAUACAGCCUGACACCUGCCCGGUGCUGGAAGGUUAAGAGGAGACGUCAUCGCAAGAGAAGCGUUGAAUUGAAGCCCCAGUAAACGGCGGCCGUAACUAUAACGGUCCUAAGGUAGCGAAAUUCCUUGUC